This 92-nucleotide transfer RNA is filed under the name Methylobacterium trifolii. RNAcentral's name for it is "tRNA-Ala". Lineage: Bacteria; Pseudomonadati; Pseudomonadota; Alphaproteobacteria; Hyphomicrobiales; Methylobacteriaceae. The record is from RNAcentral.
GGCGGCGAAGGAGAAGGGCUCCUUCCGGGCGCGCUGCUCGGCGAAGGCCUCGUCGAGGAAGGCGCGCUCGUCCGGGCCGAUCUUGCCGCUGC